AGACCCGAAACCCGGUGAUCUAGCCAUGGGCAGGUUGAAGGUUGGGUAACACUAACUGGAGGACCGAACCGACUAAUGUUGAAAAAUUAGCGGAUGACCUGUGGCUGGGGGUGAAAGGCCAAUCAAACCGGGAGAUAGCUGGUUCUCCCCGAAAGCUAUUUAGGUAGCGCCUCGUGAAUUCAUCUCCGGGGGUAGAGCACUGUUUCGGCUAGGGGGCCAUCCCGGCUUACCAACCCGAUGCAAACUGCGAAUACCGGAGAAUGUUAUCACGGGAGACACACGGCGGGUGCUAACGUCCGUCGUGAAGAGGGAAACAACCCAGACCGCCAGCUAAGGUCCCAAAGUCAUGGUUAAGUGGGAAACGAUGUGGGAAGGCCCAGACAGCCAGGAUGUUGGCUUAGAAGCAGCCAUCAUUUAAAGAAAGCGUAAUAGCUCACUGGUCGAGUCGGCCUGCGCGGAAGAUGUAACGGGGCUAAACCAUGCACCGAAGCUGCGGCAGCGAACGUAUCACCCAAGACAACUUUACGGAGUUGACGAUUGACGGAGCGAAGCGACGUCAAAGCGUUCAUUAAAGUCGAGUUGGCUUAGGGAUACGUUCGUUGGGUAGGGGAGCGUUCUGUAAGCCUGUGAAGGUGUGUCGUGAGGCAUGCUGGAGGUAUCAGAAGUGCGAAUGCUGACAUAAGUAACGAUAAAGCGGGUGAAAAGCCCGCUCGCCGGAAGACCAAGGGUUCCUGUCCAACGUUAAUCGGGGCAGGGUGAGUCGACCCCUAAGGCGAGGCCGAAAGGCGUAGUCGAUGGGAAACGGGUUAAUAUUCCCGUACUUGGUGUUACUGCGAAGGGGGGACGGAGAAGGCUAUGUUGGCCGGGCGACGGUUGUCCCGGUUUAAGCGUGUAGGUGUGUGUUCCAGGUAAAUCCGGUUCACUUUAACACUGAGGCGUGACGACGAGGCACUACGGUGCUGAAGCAACAAAUGCCCUGCUUCCAGGAAAAGCCUCUAAGCAUCAGGUAACACGAAAUCGUACCCCAAACCGACACAGGUGGUCAGGUAGAGAAUACCAAGGCGCUUGAGAGAACUCGGGUGAAGGAACUAGGCAAAAUGGUGCCGUAACUUCGGGAGAAGGCACGCUGACACGUAGGUGAAGUGAUUUACUCACGGAGCUGAAGUCAGUCGAAGAUACCAGCUGGCUGCAACUGUUUAUUAAAAACACAGCACUGUGCAAACACGAAAGUGGACGUAUACGGUGUGACGCCUGCCCGGUGCCGGAAGGUUAAUUGAUGGGGUCAGCGUAAGCGAAGCUCCUGAUCGAAGCCCCGGUAAACGGCGGCCGUAACUAUAACGGUCCUAAGGUAGCGAAAUUCCUUGUCGGGUAAGUUCCGACCUGCACGAAUGGCGUAAUGAUGGCCAGGCUGUCUCCACCCGAGACUCAGUGAAAUUGAACUCGCUGUGAAGAUGCAGUGUACCCGCGGCAAGACGGAAAGACCCCGUGAACCUUUACUAUAGCUUGACACUGAACAUUGAGCCUUGAUGUGUAGGAUAGGUGGGAGGCUUUGAAGUGUGGACGCCAGUCUGCAUGGAGCCGACCUUGAAAUACCACCCUUUAAUGUUUGAUGUUCUAACGUGGACCCGUAAUCCGGGUUGCGGACAGUGUCUGGUGGGUAGUUUGACUGGGGCGGUCUCCUCCUAAAGAGUAACGGAGGAGCACGAAGGUUGGCUAAUCCUGGUCGGACAUCAGGAGGUUAGUGCAAUGGCAUAAGCCAGCUUGACUGCGAGCGUGACGGCGCGAGCAGGUGCGAAAGCAGGUCAUAGUGAUCCGGUGGUUCUGAAUGGAAGGGCCAUCGCUCAACGGAUAAAAGGUACUCCGGGGAUAACAGGCUGAUACCGCCCAAGAGUUCAUAUCGACGGCGGUGUUUGGCACCUCGAUGUCGGCUCAUCACAUCCUGGGGCUGAAGUAGGUCCCAAGGGUAUGGCUGUUCGCCAUUUAAAGUGGUACGCGAGCUGGGUUUAGAACGUCGUGAGACAGUUCGGUCCCUAUCUGCCGUGGGCGCUGGAGAACUGAGGGGGGCUGCUCCUAGUACGAGAGGACCGGAGUGGACGCAUCACUGGUGUUCGGGUUGUCAUGCCAAUGGCACUGCCCGGUAGCUAAAUGCGGAAGAGAUAAGUGCUGAAAGCAUCUAAGCACGAAACUUGCCCCGA
This 2195-nucleotide ribosomal RNA is filed under the name Salmonella enterica. RNAcentral describes it as "partial 23S ribosomal RNA". It matches the Rfam family "Bacterial large subunit ribosomal RNA", at positions 711 to 2802 of the family's 2925-position model. RNAcentral also lists the same sequence under 1 other name. The record is from RNAcentral. Lineage: Bacteria; Pseudomonadati; Pseudomonadota; Gammaproteobacteria; Enterobacterales; Enterobacteriaceae.